Molecule: long non-coding RNA, 238 nt
Organism: Hyaena hyaena (striped hyena)
Lineage: Eukaryota; Metazoa; Chordata; Mammalia; Carnivora; Hyaenidae
Exons: 4
Source: RefSeq, a predicted model, not a curated record
AUCAGCCAGAAGUCACUUCACACAGGACUCAAGGAAAUGCAGUCUGGAUAGGAGCACCUUCUGCAUGAAAGCAAUGUGAACUUUCAACAGACCUGCUACAGGAAGUUCUUAAGCACAGGAAGAACUAAAUGAGGGCAGGAGGAUCUUCCUUAUAGAGUGGCUUGUUUUUUCCUGACAUGGUCAAGAAUGGCCUGAAUCAGAUGAAAUGACUCAAUGAUUAUGGCCUGAAUCAGAGAAA